Non-coding RNA from Acanthosepion pharaonis, 113 nucleotides. Lineage: Eukaryota; Metazoa; Mollusca; Cephalopoda; Sepiida; Sepiidae. The record is from the annotation of a GenBank genome assembly.
UAUGGCCAUAUCACGUUGAAACACUGGUUCCGGUAUGAUCACUGAAGUUAAGUAUCUUCGAGCCUGGCUAGUAAUCAGAUGAGUGAGCGUUCUUGGAUGUGCGGGUGAUGUAA